RNAcentral lists this ribosomal RNA (394 nucleotides) under uncultured bacterium. RNAcentral's name for it is "partial 16S ribosomal RNA". It matches the Rfam family "Bacterial small subunit ribosomal RNA", at positions 523 to 918 of the family's 1533-position model. The record is from RNAcentral.
AUACGUAGGGGACGAGCGUUGUCCGGAAUUACUGGGCGUAAAGGGCGCGCAGGCGGAUAUUUAAGUCAGCUGUAAAAGGCAUGAGCUCAACUCAUGUAUGCGGUUGAAACUGGGUAUCUAGAGUGCUGGAGAGGUAGGCGGAAUUCCCGGUGUAGCGGUGAAAUGCGUAGAUAUCGGGAAGAACACCAGUGGCGAAGGCGGCUUACUGGCCAGCAACUGACGCUGAGGCGCGAAAGCCAGGGGAGCAAACGGGAUUAGAUACCCCGGUAGUCCUGGCAGUAAACGAUGUAUGCUGGGUGUGGGAGUAGCGAUACCUCCGUGCCGAAGUUAACGCGAUAAGCAUACCGCCUGGGGAGUACGGUCGCAAGAUUGAAACUCAAAGGAAUUGGCGGGG